Molecule: long non-coding RNA, 810 nt
Filed under: Vulpes vulpes (red fox)
Lineage: Eukaryota; Metazoa; Chordata; Mammalia; Carnivora; Canidae
Description: lncRNA (ENSVVUG00000005076.1)
Source: RNAcentral
CUUGAUCCAACCUGGUGAAACCCACUCCCCAGCCCAGCUACUGGCAUGGCACGCUCGCCCCAGCACUCAACAGCCAGGGUUUUUUUAGCUGCGGCCACAUGACAUCAUUUCCAACUGGCCGGCCUCCUCCGCCCCGCCUGUGAUUGCUGUGUUGUGCGCACUCAACUAAAAUGGGGCAAGAAUGUAAGAAGGCUGGUCCAGGAGGGCCAACCUCUUCUGCUUUCUCAUCGACUGAAUCCCCCAGUGGGGCAGUGGCACGUAAGUCAAGGAUUCGUGCUCCAGGAGAAAGAACUCUGGGCCUGGAGCCAGGAAACAAGAGGUUGGGUCCCAACCCAGCUACUCAUUCAACCAUCAUGGAGUCUUGGGAAAAUCUCUCUGCUUUUCUAGCCUUCCACUACCCCACAGGGCUGUCCUGGAAUGCAGUGAGCUCGGUGUGGCAUGCUUUGCUUUUCCCUGAUAGAAUACCCCGGGAAGCCCAGGACAGGGACAAGCAGGGCUAGAUCUACAGUGUGGCCACAGAGUCCUCCAGUCUCCUUCAGCAGCUCCUCACCUGCUGGGGCUGAGGAUGUGUCCCCGAGCUGGCGAGGACCCACAUCGUUGGCCACAACCCCUGCAUUAAUUGAGAAAAAAAAAAUCACUACCUAGGAGACUUUUGAUUGAUUAAUAAUCAUAAUUAAUAAUAGUAAUAACUCUAAGCCUGCUGUUCUAAGUUCUGGGCUAGACUCUGAACCAGUUCUCUGCAUUUCACUUUCCCCAUCUAUAAACUCCAAAAGAUGGACCACAUAGUCCUCUUUGACGCAGAGGCCUUCC